RNAcentral lists this long non-coding RNA (377 nucleotides) under Gossypium raimondii (Peruvian cotton). Its description in RNAcentral is "long non-coding RNA (GRAI_LNC003112)". The record is from RNAcentral. Lineage: Eukaryota; Viridiplantae; Streptophyta; Magnoliopsida; Malvales; Malvaceae.
AAUUAUAUACACAUAUACUAAAAAAUUUUAUAAGAAUAAUAAUAAUAAUAAUAUUACAUACGCACAUAUACAAUACUAUCUUAGAAACUAACUUUACAUAAAACAUAUAUAUAAAAAUACAAUGAAACAAUAAUAAAGAUAAGUAUGAUAAUAAAAUAACAAUAAAUUACUUAAAUAAAAAAAUAAAAAAAUAAAUGACCAAAAGGAUUAAAUCACAAACAACAUCGAAUCAAUGGAAAAAAAAAUAAAAUUAAAGAAAAAUAAGAGGACCAGGCUGCAAGACGCGUAUUACAUGAGGGCCUGAUUGGGAAAUAUCCCGCUUCCCCAAAACGCAGUGUUGCAAGCCGGGCCGGAAUGGAACGAAAGCAGAAUGUGGG